AUUUAUCUGUGUGUUGUCAUGAUUAUAAACAUAAUGCUGGCAUUUUGACAUUUAUUUGGCAAACGAAUUGAAAAUUUAACGUUUGUCCAUGCCGUGAUGUCCUUGGUCAGGACAACAACAGUGGCAGGCGAGGCGCAGUUGGACUUCGAAUAGCUGACCAAGGCUAUAGCUAUGGCGAUGGCAAUUUGGUGCAAGCCCCACGCUGUGCCAGCAACAUAAUGAAACCGAAAUGAAUAUGAAAAUGUAAGCGAAAGCGAAAGUAAUAUUCCACAAAUAUAUUUUAUAUUACAUAGCCGCAAAUAGCGUGCAAAAAUCAUGGUCGCGAUUAAGUGAAAA
Long non-coding RNA from Drosophila sulfurigaster albostrigata, 336 nucleotides. RefSeq lists it as uncharacterized. The record is from RefSeq and is a predicted model, not a curated record. Lineage: Eukaryota; Metazoa; Arthropoda; Insecta; Diptera; Drosophilidae. The transcript is spliced from 2 exons.